GGCUACACACGUGCUACAAUGGGUAGUACAGAGAGUUGCAAAGCUGUGAAGUGGAGCUAAUCUCAGAAAACUAUUCUUAGUUCGGAUUGUACUCUGCAACUCGAGUACAUGAAGUUGGAAUCGCUAGUAAUCGCGAAUCAGCAAUGUCGCGGUGAAUACGUUCUCGGGUCUUGUACACACCGCCCGUCACACCACGAGAGUUGGUUGCACCUGAAGUAGCAGGCCUAACCGUAAGGAGGGAUGCUCCGAGGGUGUGAUUAGCGAUUGGGGUGAAGUCGUAACAAGGUAUCCGUACGGGAACGU
RNAcentral lists this ribosomal RNA (303 nucleotides) under uncultured Fusobacterium sp. RNAcentral's name for it is "bacterial SSU rRNA". It matches the Rfam family "Bacterial small subunit ribosomal RNA", at positions 1212 to 1513 of the family's 1533-position model. The record is from RNAcentral. Lineage: Bacteria; Fusobacteriati; Fusobacteriota; Fusobacteriia; Fusobacteriales; Fusobacteriaceae.